Molecule: transfer RNA, 56 nt
Filed under: Camelus ferus (Wild Bactrian camel)
Lineage: Eukaryota; Metazoa; Chordata; Mammalia; Artiodactyla; Camelidae
Rfam family: tRNA
About the family: Transfer RNA (tRNA) molecules are approximately 80 nucleotides in length. Their secondary structure includes four short double-helical elements and three loops (D, anti-codon, and T loops).
Source: Rfam by way of RNAcentral
AGCCCAGCGGUGGGGUGCGUGCUUCGCAUGCACGAGGUCCUGGGUUCAAUCCCCAG